RNAcentral lists this ribosomal RNA (422 nucleotides) under uncultured eukaryote. Its description in RNAcentral is "bacterial SSU rRNA". It matches the Rfam family "Eukaryotic small subunit ribosomal RNA", at positions 592 to 1018 of the family's 1831-position model. The record is from RNAcentral.
CAAUAGCGUAUAUUAAAAGUUGUUGCAGUUAAAAAAGCUCGUAGUUGGAUUUCUGGGAGGGUGCCAAUGUCCGUCGUCGUACGUGUUGCAGCGGCGCCCUUCCAUCCUUCUGUUAACGACUUUGGGCAUUCAUUUGCCGGAGUCGGGCUCAGAUAUUUUACCUUGAGGAAAUUAGAGUGUUUCAAGCAGGCGCACGCCUUGAAUACAUUAGCAUGGAAUAAUAAGAUAGGACCUCGGUUCUAUUUUGUUGGUUUCUAGAGCUGAGGUAAUGAUUAAUAGGGAUAGUUGGGGGUGCUAGUAUUGGCCGGCCAGAGGUGAAAUUCUUGGAUUCGGUCAAGACUAACUUAUGCGAAAGCAUUCACCAAGGAUGUCUUCUUUAAUCAAGAACGAAAGUUGGGGGAUCAAAGAUGAUUAGAUACCGU